This 408-nucleotide ribosomal RNA is filed under the name uncultured bacterium. RNAcentral's name for it is "partial 16S ribosomal RNA". It matches the Rfam family "Bacterial small subunit ribosomal RNA", at positions 28 to 526 of the family's 1533-position model. The record is from RNAcentral.
GACGAACGCUGGCGGCGUGCUUAACACAUGCAAGUCGAACGAAGUGGCGCACGGGUGAGUAACGCGUAAUCAACCUGCCCUUCAGAGGGGGACAACAGUUGGAAACGACUGCUAAUACCGCAUACUGUAGGAGGGGAUUGCGUGGGAUUAGCUGGUUGGAGGGGUAACGGCCCCCCAAGGCGAUGAUCAGGAGCCGGUCUGAGGGGAUGAGCUGCCACAUUGGGACUGGGACACGGCCCAGACUCCUACGGGAGGCAGCAGGGGGGAAUCUUUCGCAAUGGACGAAAGUCUGACGGAGCAACGCCGCGUGAGUGAUGACGGCCUUCGGGUUGUAAAGCUCUGUUAAUCGGGACGCGGUACCGGAAUAGAAAGCCCCGGCUAACUACGUGCCAGCAGCCGCGGUAAUAC